GUAGUCCUAGCCGUAAACGAUGGACACUGAGUGGAGGAGGGCUUGCCUUUCUCUGCUGCAGCUAACGCGUUAAGUGUCCCGCCUGGGGAGUACGGCCGCAAGGUUAAAACUCAAAGGAAUUGACGGGGGCUCGCACAAGCGGUGGAGCAUGUGGUUCAAUUCGAUGCAACGCGAAGAACCUUACCCGGGCUUGAAGUGGAGGUGGUAGGAGCCGGAAACGGUGACGACCCCGCAAGGGGAGCCUUCAUCAGGUGUUGCAUGGCUGUCGUCAGCUCGUGUCGUGAGACGUUGGGUUAAGUCCCGUAACGAGCGAAACCCUUGCGACUAGUUGCUACCUAGCAAUAGGGCACUCUAGUCGGACUGCCCGUGUCGAAUGGGAGGAAGGUGGGGAUGACGUCAAGUCAUCAUGGCCCUUAUGUCCGGGGCAACACACGUGCUACAAUGGCCGGUAUAAAGGGUUGCCAACUCGCGAGAGGGAGCCAAUCCCAAAAAGCCGGCCCCAGUUCGGAUCGGAGGCUGCAAUUCGCCUCCGUGAAGCCGGAAUCGCUAGUAAUCGCGGAUCAGCCACGCCGCGGUGAAUA
This 581-nucleotide ribosomal RNA is filed under the name uncultured Planctomycetota bacterium. RNAcentral describes it as "bacterial SSU rRNA". It matches the Rfam family "Bacterial small subunit ribosomal RNA", at positions 790 to 1368 of the family's 1533-position model. Lineage: Bacteria; Pseudomonadati; Planctomycetota. The record is from RNAcentral.